CCAGCCACUUGCCCAAGUGCAUCACAUUCCCCAGCCCCACCUUACCCCGAUUUCCUUGUCCCAUCUCACUCACUCAAUUAUCCCUGGCCACCCUGCCACCUUUCUUGCUAGCCACCCUAUCCAUAUAAUCCCUGCUUCAGCCAUCCAUCCUGGGCCCUUCACCUUUCACCCCGUCCCACACGCUGCCCUCUACCCUACCCUGCUCGCGCCACGGCCUGCUGCAGCAGCUGCCACUGCCCUCCAUCUUCACCCACUACUUCACCCCAUCUUCUCAGGUCAGGACCUGCAGCACCCUCCCAGCCAUGGGACUUGAGCUGGGAGUCGGAAGCCUAUGUUGAGCCAGGGAAGGUGACCUAUUCUUCCCUUGGGGGUGUAGAGCCAUUUAUACCAGCAAGUAAAAGCUGGAACAGGCAGUGUCUUGACAGCCAAAGAAAUGAGUUUUGGCUUGCAGGGAUGGAUUUAGAUUUGAGGUUUGCUUUGGGUUUACUAUCAGGGAUAUUUCCCCCCCUAUCCAACCCCCCCUCCCUCCCGUGUUUCUAAGCUAGGGAACACCAGUAAGAGCUGCCCACAGCCCUCUGCAGCAGUCUCCAGACUGUCAGUAAUCCUCCUCCUCUACUUUCUGAUCCUCUGCACUUCCCCUCUGUGAGUUCCGAACAUUUCCCUCCUCUAAAGGGUUGUCACCAAAGCACUUGCCAUGGGCCCAUCUGGUCCUGCCUUCUCAGUGCCACGAGGAAGGCCGGACUGUCUCUCCAGUGGUGAAAACUCCACUUUUCGGCAGUGUCUUUGACUAUCCUUAGUGACACGUUAUCCCAGGUGAGGUGGAGGAGGGGGUCUAACCUAGAACCAAAAGCAACUCAGGCUGCGAUCGACCCCUUCCUUACAGACAGCCAUGCAUUUGGCACUACUGUCCUCCUGCCCCUCACCCAGAAGGGGCAUCUACAUAUCCCAGAAAAGAAGAUCCUAGCGUGAGUAGAAGCUAUGCUGAACAUAGGGUCACCCAUGUGCUUCCCAGAAAGGAGCUCGUGUCUGAAGGGUAUACUUUCUUCUGUUAUGUUGAUGUUUUCUUUUUAAUUUAUAGGAUUUUUUAAUGUAAAAUUGCACUGAACUCUAUAAACGUAAAUGCUGCUUUUUGUAGCUCAUAUUAAGAAGGUUCCGUAUUUGUAGUAUACUGCAAUAAUAUUUUUUACAUCAGCUCUUUAAGUGAUCCUUGUUCUGGUGGCUUUCUGUAAAUAUGUUUGCCCUAGUUGAAUUAAGAAACUUUAAAGGUUAUAAAAUAAAAAGAAAAAAUAAAGUAUUUGUUUUCUGCUAGAUGCAAAAAUGACUAAGCAUGUAUAUUUUAUCAAUCUCCUGUAUUUUUUAAAGUUAUGAACUAUAAAAAUGGUAACUUUUUUUGCUGGGACAUGUUAAUAAUUCGCAGUAGUGGUUCGUGCUGGGUUCUUGAGUUGUCGAGCAACAGGCAGCAGCCAGUGUCAGGAGGACGCUCAGUCACGGUGGUCUCCCUGGUGUGCUUUGUUAGACAGUGGACUCCACAGAGUCCGGAGGGGAGGAUUGGUUCAACAGCUUUAUUCUCUGGAAGCAGUGACACUCGGUGACUGUCUAGGAAGAGGGACUCUUGGGUUUCCCUGGGUACUUUGUUCCGGACAGUCUUACUUGCCUUCCUAGUAUUUAGCCCCCUCUGACAAUUUUUUAAAUGUGCCUUUUGGGUUGGCUAGAAACUAAAAUAGAAGUAGACCAGAGGAUAAUAGGGUUGGGACAGUCUUCUCCUCUUCGUUGGGAGGUGAGUAGUUCAAGAUUUUUGGCUUUGCAGUUCUAUGCCAUCUGUCCAGCUCGAUUUCAAUUUCAGCAGUAGAGGCUCCUUUUUUCUUUUCUCCCUUGACACUGACCAGAAGUCCAUCCAUCCCUCUCCCCUUUGGCCUUCCCCAGGCUCUCAGCCCUCCUUAACACAGACCCAAAGGUGCUUGUAAUGCAGGUCUCAUCUCCUUUAUUAGUACUCUUAGGACUAGAACUGGCUAAGCAGUCAACUGACAUCGCCCUGCUUGCCUAAGCUAAGCUUCGCUCUCCCUGCCUCUCAAAUCCCCAACGGAAUGGGCUUUGUAAAGGAGCAGUUGCUGGGCAAAUGAGGCACUUACUUGGCUGAGCCCCUCCUUCCUUCUCAGUGUCCCUGUCGGUUUACAAGUCUCACUUUUUGGAUAACUAGCCCUGGAAAGAUGGCAUCUAUUUGAAGUGAAGGGACUGGUUCUUCUUGCUUUCAGCUCGUGUAAAUAUUUAAAUAAAACAGUGUUAACAUUUUGUGCUGCUUCCCUUAGGUUGUAGACAUCGAGCCAUGCUCUGGCCACCUCUGCCUUCCUGGGGGCAGUUUUCUUUAACUUCCAGAAUAGUGAUUUUAAAACUUCCAAAAAAAAAAAGAAAAAAAGAAAAAAAGGAAAAACAAAAUAACCUGUCCUUACGUACAAGCAUAACAGAUUGUAUUUGACUUUAUCACACAUGAUAGAGAGAUAUAUGCUGUAAAGUGAAGGAGAGGAACUUUCUAAUAAACCAACACUUUGGAAACUUA
Molecule: long non-coding RNA, 2554 nt
Filed under: Rattus norvegicus (Norway rat)
Lineage: Eukaryota; Metazoa; Chordata; Mammalia; Rodentia; Muridae
Description: long non-coding RNA NONRATT006095
Source: RNAcentral